This 438-nucleotide ribosomal RNA is filed under the name Acinetobacter baumannii. RNAcentral describes it as "bacterial SSU rRNA". It matches the Rfam family "Bacterial small subunit ribosomal RNA", at positions 338 to 794 of the family's 1533-position model. Lineage: Bacteria; Pseudomonadati; Pseudomonadota; Gammaproteobacteria; Moraxellales; Moraxellaceae. The record is from RNAcentral.
CCUACGGGCGGCUGCAGUGGGGAAUAUUGCACAAUGGGGGAAACCCUGAUGCAGCGACGCCGCGUGAACGAAGAAGGUAUUCGUAUCGUAAAGUUCUGUCCUAUGGGAAGAUAAUGACAGUACCAUAGAAGAAAGCUCCGGCUAAAUACGUGCCAGCAGCCGCGGUAAUACGUAUGGAGCGAGCGUUGUCCGGAAUUAUUGGGCGUAAAGGGUACGCAGGCGGUUUAAUAAGUCGAAUGUUAAAGAUCGGGGCUCAACCCCGUAAAGCAUUGGAAACUGAUAAACUUGAGUAGUGGAGAGGAAAGUGGAAUUCCUAGUGUAGUGGUGAAAUACGUAGAUAUUAGGAGGAAUACCAGUAGCGAAGGCGACUUUCUGGACACAAACUGACGCUGAGGUACGAAAGCGUGGGGAGCAAACAGGAUUAGAUACCCGGGUAGU